RNAcentral lists this ribosomal RNA (491 nucleotides) under uncultured bacterium. RNAcentral describes it as "bacterial SSU rRNA". It matches the Rfam family "Bacterial small subunit ribosomal RNA", at positions 773 to 1254 of the family's 1533-position model. The record is from RNAcentral.
AGUGAAUAGAUACCCAGGUAGUCCACGCCCUAAACGAUGUACGCUGAGUUAGAGCGGCUCUGACGCCGUUCGGACUGUAGAGAAAUUGAUAAGCGUACCGCCUGGGGAGUACGGUCGCAAGGCUAAAACUCAAAGAAAUUGACGGGGGCGUCACACAAGCGGUGGAGCAUGUGGCUCAAUUCGAAGCAACGCGCAGAACCUUACCUGGGUUUGACAUACAUGGAUUAGCUGGUGGAAACAUUAGUGAGGCCGCAAGGGUACAACAUGACAGGUGCUGCAUGGCUGUCGUCAGCUCGUGCUGUGAAGCGUCGGGUUAAGUCCCUUAACGAGCGCAACCCCUGUCGUUAGUUACUAACAGGUAAUGCUGAGGACUCUAGCGAGACUGCCGGUGUCAAACCGGAGGAAGGCGGGGAUGACGUCAAGUCCUCAUGGCCCGUUACAUCCAGGGGUUGCACACGUGCUACAAUGGUGCGUACAAACGCGAUGCAAGA